RNAcentral lists this long non-coding RNA (224 nucleotides) under Lathyrus oleraceus (garden pea). RNAcentral describes it as "Pisum sativum (pea) long non-coding RNA (PSAT_LNC013812)". Lineage: Eukaryota; Viridiplantae; Streptophyta; Magnoliopsida; Fabales; Fabaceae. The record is from RNAcentral.
AAGAUUUAGCCCCAAAAGAAAUAGGAAAUAGAACAUAUUUGCCCUCAACUUGGCACACUUUGUCUAAAAAAGAAAAAAAAAGUAUUUGUGAUUGUUUGUAGGGUAUCAAAGUUCCCAAAGGGUAAUUAUCAAAAUUGAAGAAACUUGUGUCAAAGAACGAUCACAAAUUAGUUGGCUUAAAAUAUCAUGAUUGCCAUGUCUUGAUGCAACAACUUCUACCAGUG